ACUAACAAGGAUUCCCCCAGUAGCGGCGAGCGAACAGGGAAGAGCCCAGCACUGAAUCCCGCGUCCGACUUCGGACGCCGGGAAAUGUAGUGUUAGGGAGUGUCCGCUAUCCCGAUAUCGCGCGGCGCGUCCAAGUUCUCCUUGAACGGGGCCACUCACCCAUAGAGGGUGCCAGGCCCGUAGCGGCCGCCGCCGGUAACGGGAGGAUUUCUCCUCAGAGUCGGGUUGCUUGAGAGUGCAGCCCUAAGUGGGUGGUAAACUCCAUCUAAGGCUAAAUAUAACCACGAGACCGAUAGCGAACAAGUACCGUGAGGGAAAGUUGAAAAGAACUUUGAAGAGAGAGUUCAAUAGUACGUGAAACCGUUCAGGGGUAAACCUGAGAAGCCCGAAAGGUCGAACGGGGAGAUUCAGCGCGUUUCGUGCGUCUGUGCGAGUUCAGUAUCGAGUGACGGCUCGGCGUAACAACGUCUGGCUGCGCCGAACGGGACCGUUGCCGGCGACGAACGCGUGCACUUCUCCUCUUGUAGGACGUCGCGACCCGUUGGGUGCCGGUCUAAAGGACCGCGGUGGAGCCCGUCGGGGACGUUUGCUCUUCGGAGUGCUCGUCUCCCGUUCGGACCCGCGGAAUCCUGGCCGGCUCGCUCGACGGUAACAAACCUGUGGCGAUGGGUCGCGAAUUAAUUCGCGUCCGGCCCUUCGCGCCGGCGGGCGCAGCCUGGAUGUGCGGACUGUUGCGCCGUACCCGAGCUCGCCCGUUCGUCCGCGUUGGUGUCCUCGGACAGACCCGUUUAAUUACUAAACGCCAGUCGGCGACGCUCUAGCUUUGGGCACUUUCAGGACCCGUCUUGAAACACGGACCAAGGAGUCUAGCAUGUGCGCGAGUCAUUGGGACCGCAUCUAAACCUAAAGGCGAAAUGAAAGUAAAGGCCGCCUUCGGGCGUGCCCAGGGAGGAUGGGCCUGCGUUCAAAUUUUGGCGCGACCCCGCACUCCCGGGGCGUCUCGUUCUCAUCGCGAGAUGAGGCGCACCCAGAGCGUACACGCUGGGACCCGAAAGAUGGUGAACUAUGCCUGGUCAGGACGAAGUCAGGGGAAACCCUGAUGGAGGUCCGUAGCGAUUCUGACGUGCAAAUCGAUCGUCGGAACUGGGUAUAGGGGCGAAAGACUAAUCGAACCAUCUAGUAGCUGGUUCCCUCCGAAGUUUCCCUCAGGAUAGCUGGCGCUCGCGUAGCGAGUUUCAUCCGGUAAAGCGAAUGAUUAGAGGCAUUGGGGUCGAAACGGCCUCAACCUAUUCUCAAACUUUAAAUGGGUUAGAACUCCGGCUUGCUUGAACUUGAAGCCGCGAGAUAAACGGCUCGUGCUCCGCGCGUUAUCAGACGCCGGACUCGUGUCCGUAACGAAUCAGAG
RNAcentral lists this ribosomal RNA (1405 nucleotides) under Pinophilus latipes. Its description in RNAcentral is "eukaryotic LSU rRNA". It matches the Rfam family "Eukaryotic large subunit ribosomal RNA", at positions 64 to 1163 of the family's 3401-position model. The record is from RNAcentral. Lineage: Eukaryota; Metazoa; Arthropoda; Insecta; Coleoptera; Staphylinidae.